GCCGCUUUUCCGCCUAAUUGAUUGAGCCUAUGUUAGAUUAGCUAGUUGGUGGGGUAAUGGCCUACCAAGGCAGUGAUCUAUAGCUGGUCUGAGAGGAUGAUCAGCCACACUGGAACUGAGACACGGUCCAGACUCCUACGGGAGGCAGCAGUGGGGAAUAUUGGACAAUGGGCGCAAGCCUGAUCCAGCUAUGCCGCGUGAGUGAGGAAGGCCUUAGGGUUGUAAAACUCUUUCAGUAGGGAAGAUAAUGACGGUACC
This 258-nucleotide ribosomal RNA is filed under the name Anaplasma phagocytophilum. RNAcentral describes it as "partial 16S ribosomal RNA". It matches the Rfam family "Bacterial small subunit ribosomal RNA", at positions 208 to 479 of the family's 1533-position model. The record is from RNAcentral. Lineage: Bacteria; Pseudomonadati; Pseudomonadota; Alphaproteobacteria; Rickettsiales; Anaplasmataceae.